AGUUACCCGUACAAGGUAGAACUCCGAACUCAACUCUUUGUGUCUUGAGAAUCUUGUGCUAGAUACUACCGAAGAUAGUUAAGCAUACGUGUUGGAAGCUUUUUUUAUUUAAGUGGUUUGCAUAAAUAAAUUUUAUUUAUUUAUUUAUCUUGCUGGUGAUCAAUUUGCAAUGUCAUCAUCAUGUGCUUACUUAUUAUGUCUUUAUCUUUUCUUCUCAAGGUUUUGUUUGGUUAAGCAAGGACACUUCCAUGUUGGAUGGUCUUGAUACUGCCAGCGUUGAAAUUGAAGCGGCCAAGGCUAGAUUUGAGAUUGUAACGUGUGGCAAAAAGAUGAUCAAUGAGCAUGGGCUCCUCUCACUUGGAUGACUGAUGGAGCUGGAGUUCCUCCCAAUGCUCAUCAACUCCUCCGUGAAUUUGGUACGACUGUUGCAUAAUUCCCAUCUAGCUCUAAAAGGAUUAGAUGAAACUCUUCAGAGUUGCAAAGGUUCAACCGACUCUACUUUCUCUUCUUCUUUUUUUGGAACUCAAAACUACAAACUGUACUUUCUCGUUUCCCUUUUUCACUUAGAAAAGUUUGUUAUGACUAAGAUAUAUGUGUUAUGUAAUUGCAGUUAGAUAGGUUUUGGUGGUGAUGAUCGAAUUUGGAAAAUAGGUUUAGGUGGCUUUGUACUUGGAUUAUUAAAAUAGCUAGGAAUGGUAAUCUUGGUGGUAAUGAUCGAAUUUAGAAGACAUGUUUAGUUUAAAAUAUAUAUAAUAUAUAUAUGGAAACAGCUAGGGAGUUGUUUUUCUUUAAAAUAUAUAAUUUAAGAACAUUUUUUAUAUCAACAUUUAGAAUCCUAAACUUUUAUAUGUAACAAAUCCAAAAUCUGGAUUUAUUUUAUUAAUUGGGCUCUAUAACAUCUUCUAAAUUAGAGGCAUUCUUGAUUAGGGGCAUUCUAGAAUAUGGGUAUUUGAGAUUAGGGGCACAUAAGAUUAGGGUCAUUUUAGAUUAUGGGGCAUUCUAGAUUAGGGGCAUUCUAGAUUAGGGGUAUUCUAGAUUAGGGGCAUUUGAGAUUAGGGGCAUUUGAGAUUAGGGGUAUUCUAGAUUAGGGGCAUUUGAGAUUAGGGGCAUUAAGAUUAGGGGUAUUCUAGAUUAGGGGCAUUUGAGAUUAGGGCAUUCUAGAUUAGGGGGGCAUUUGAGAUUAGGGACAUUCUAGAUUAGGGGUAUUUGAGAUUAGGGACAUUCUAGAUUAGGGGUAUUUGAGAUUAGAGGCAUUUGAGAUUAGG
Brassica napus (rape) is the source of this 1265-nucleotide long non-coding RNA. RefSeq lists it as uncharacterized. The transcript has 3 exons. The record is from RefSeq and is a predicted model, not a curated record. NCBI's taxonomy places the organism in Eukaryota, Viridiplantae, Streptophyta, Magnoliopsida, Brassicales, Brassicaceae.